RNAcentral lists this ribosomal RNA (1149 nucleotides) under Triticum aestivum (bread wheat). RNAcentral's name for it is "partial small subunit ribosomal RNA". Lineage: Eukaryota; Viridiplantae; Streptophyta; Magnoliopsida; Poales; Poaceae. The record is from RNAcentral.
AUGAAGCAGCCGGCGGCGAGCCCGGGGCGCGCGGAGAAGCCGCAGCUGCCGGCGCCGCCGGGGCUGGCGCGGCUGCUGCUCAGCAAGAGCCGGCGCGGGGCGCGGUCGCGCCGCGCGCCGGCCACGUCGCCCAUGUUCGUGUCGCGGGGCCGGACCCGCGCGGCGGCGGCGGCGGCGGGGGCGGGCGGGGAGCCGUCGUCGCCCAAGGUCACCUGCAUUGGCCAGGUGCGGAUGCGCAAGGGGAAGAAGGGCAGCAAGAAGGGGGCGCCUGCGCCGCCGGCCAAGGAGGAGAAGGCCAGGGGCUACUGCCGGUGCCUCAAGAAGGCGUUCCUCUGCGGCGGGCUCUUCGACUUCGACCGGACGCGCCGGCGCAAGGGGCCGCCGCCGGAGGCGGAGCGCACCCGCCGGUCGCCCUGGGUGUUCAGCAGCAGGGACGUGGCCGUCGCCGCCGCGCCCAAGCCGCCGGAUCCGGCCAGCGACCGCGCCGAGGAGGAGGGGGAGGAGGACGACAAGUCGGCGGGAGCCUUCGGCUCGGCGGAGAGAUACGAGAAGGCGAGUGACCCGGGGACCGACAGCGGUGGCAAGGAGGAGGAGGAAGAGUGCGAGGAGGAGGCUGCGGAGCUCGUGUCGUCGGCCACCACCACGCCGCCCAAAAACGCUCUGCUCCUCAUGCGCUGCCGCUCCGCGCCGCAGAACCGCUCGUCCCCGCUCACCUCCAGGUUCGCCGCCGGCGCCGCGCCGUCGCCGCGGAAGCCGGACAUGUUGCAGUCACCACGGGCGUCGCCAUCUCCGCGCAAGCCGGACAUGGUGGCGGUGGAAAGCAACGACGAGAAGCGGCAAGAAAUGGCAGUAUCCACGCAGGAAGACGAGGAGAAGCCGCACGAACAAGAUCACGAAGCCGACGACGAGGAGGAGGAGGAAGACGAAGCGGAAGAGAUGCGGUGCUCGUCGGCGCGGCCACUGGUGCUGCAGAGGUGCAAGUCGGAGCCGGCGACGACCGCUGCGGCGAAGAUGUCUACCGGUGCCGGGGCCGAGGGGGCGCCGUCUGGCUGCUUCUGGGCCAACGGCGGGAGCAGCGGGCGGCGGAGGCACGCGCCGCAGAUGUCGCCGGCGGCCGCCGCCGCUGCGGUGGCUUUGACCGGUCACUGA